This 43-nucleotide non-coding RNA is filed under the name Trypanosoma brucei brucei. The record is from RNAcentral. Lineage: Eukaryota; Euglenozoa; Kinetoplastea; Trypanosomatida; Trypanosomatidae.
AUUAUCAACUGUGAGAUUAUAUUACAAGGAAUAAGUGAUUUUU